AUGGCCUUACAGUGCUACACGCCUCUGCUGAAGCCCCAACUGGCCCAAGUCUCGGUCAACCCUUCCAUUAACACGAUACAGAUUCCAGAGUCAGUGCUCCGCCCCUCUGCUGAAGCCCUUACUGGCCCAAGUCUCGGCCAGCCCUUCUCUAAAUCAAUGCAGAUUGCAGAUUUGCCUCGCACCAAUAUGCUCCUUGCAUAA
Molecule: ribosomal RNA, 201 nt
Filed under: Triticum aestivum (bread wheat)
Lineage: Eukaryota; Viridiplantae; Streptophyta; Magnoliopsida; Poales; Poaceae
Description: partial small subunit ribosomal RNA
Source: RNAcentral